This 580-nucleotide ribosomal RNA is filed under the name uncultured Actinomycetes bacterium. RNAcentral's name for it is "bacterial SSU rRNA". It matches the Rfam family "Bacterial small subunit ribosomal RNA", at positions 295 to 885 of the family's 1533-position model. Lineage: Bacteria; Bacillati; Actinomycetota; Actinomycetes. The record is from RNAcentral.
AGAGGGUGACCGGCCACACUGGGACUGAGACACGGCCCAGACUCCUACGGGAGGCAGCAGUGGGGAAUAUUGGACAAUGGGCGGAAGCCUGAUCCAGCAACGCCGCGUGAGGGAUGACGGCCUUCGGGUUGUAAACCUCUUUCAGUAGGGACGAAGCGAAAGUGACGGUACCUACAGAAGAAGCACCGGCCAACUACGUGCCAGCAGCCGCGGUAAUACGUAGGGUGCGAGCGUUGUCCGGAAUUAUUGGGCGUAAAGGGAUCGUAGGCGGUUUGUCGCGUCGGGUGUGAAAACCCAGGGCUUAACCCUGGGCUGGCUUUCGAUACGGGCAGACUAGAGGUAUGCAGGGGAGAACGGAAUUCCUGGUGUAGCGGUGAAAUGCGCAGAUAUCAGGAGGAACACCGGUGGCGAAGGCGGUUCUCUGGGCAUUACCUGACGCUGAGGAGCGAAAGUGUGGGGAGCGAACAGGAUUAGAUACCCUGGUAGUCCACACCGUAAACGUUGGGCGCUAGGUGUGGGGUCCAUUCCACGGAUUCCGUGCCGCAGCUAACGCAUUAAGCGCCCCGCCUGGGGAGUACGA